UUUCAUUCUUACUACACUGCGUAGGAUGC
RNAcentral lists this non-coding RNA (29 nucleotides) under Rattus norvegicus (Norway rat). The record is from RNAcentral. Lineage: Eukaryota; Metazoa; Chordata; Mammalia; Rodentia; Muridae.